AACGCACAUUGCGCCUUAGGGUAUUCCUUGAGGCAUGCCUGUUCGAGCGUCGUUAAAACUACAAAGCUUUGCUUUGCGUUGGAUUUGUUUUUGUAAUCAAAACAUAUCCCAAAACGAUUGGCGUUCGAAUCGACCUAAACGCAACAACUUGUGUUGAUGGUUUGAUUUUUGAGCUGUCUACUUUUAUUAUCAAUCUUUGUAAAAAACAGAUUGUAUUGUCGACCUCGGAUCAGGCAAGAUUACCCGCUGAACUUAA
RNAcentral lists this unclassified non-coding RNA (256 nucleotides) under uncultured fungus. RNAcentral's name for it is "sequence contains ITS2". The record is from RNAcentral. Lineage: Eukaryota; Fungi.